AGGGUUUGAUUCUGGCUCAGAAUGAACGUUGGCGGCGUGGAUUAGGCAUGCAAGUCGAGCGAGAAGUUUACUUCGGUAAAUGGACAGCGGCGAAAGGGACAGUAAUGUGUAGGUACCUACCCCCCGAUCUGGGAUAGCUGCGGGAAACUGCAGGUAAUACCGGAUAAUGUCUUCGGACCAAAGGUGUGAUUCCGUCAGGGGAGGGGCCUGCAUCCUAUUAGCUUGUUGGUGAGGUAAUGGCUCACCAAGGCAACGAUGGGUAGCGGGUGUGAGAGCAUGACCCGCGUCAUUGGGACUGAGACACUGCCCAGACAUCUACGGAUGGCUGCAGUCGAGAAUCUUCGGCAAUGGGCGAAAGCCUGACCGAGCGACGCCGCGUGCGGGAUGAAGGCCCUCGGGUUGUAAACCGCUGUCGUUGGGGAGGAAAUGCAAAAGGGUUAUCCCUUCUGUUUGACCGAUCCAAGGAGGAAGUACGGGCUAAGUUCGUGCCAGCAGCCGCGGUAAGACGAACCGUACGAACGUUAUUCGGAAUUACUGGGCUUAAAGGGUGCGUAGGCUGCACGGAAAGUUGGGUGUGAAAGCCCUCAGCUCAACUGAGGAAUUGCAUCCAAAACUGCCGUGCUUGAGGGAGACAGAGGUGAGCGGAACUCAAGGUGGAGCGGUGAAAUGCGUUGAUAUCUUGAGGAACACCGGUGGCGAAAGCGGCUCACUGGGUCUCUUCUGACGCUGAGGCACGAAAGCUAAGGUAGCAAACGGGAUUAGAUACCCCGGUAGUCUUAGCUGUAAACGAUGAGCACUUGAUUGGAGGGUCCUCCAUAGCCUUCCAGUCGUAGCGAAAGUGUUAAGUGCUCCGCCUGGGGAGUAUGGUCG
This 870-nucleotide ribosomal RNA is filed under the name marine metagenome. RNAcentral's name for it is "bacterial SSU rRNA". It matches the Rfam family "Bacterial small subunit ribosomal RNA", at positions 8 to 888 of the family's 1533-position model. The record is from RNAcentral.